RNAcentral lists this ribosomal RNA (494 nucleotides) under uncultured bacterium. RNAcentral describes it as "partial 16S ribosomal RNA". It matches the Rfam family "Bacterial small subunit ribosomal RNA", at positions 28 to 507 of the family's 1533-position model. The record is from RNAcentral.
GACGAACGCUGGCGGCGUGCUUAACACAUGCAAGUCGAACGGAAAGGCCUGCUUUCCCUUGUGGAUUGCGGGUACUCGAGUGGCAAACGGGUGAGUAACACGUGAGUGAUCUGCCCCCAACUUGGGUAUAAGCCUGGGAAACUGGGUCUAAUUCCCGAUAGGACUGCAGGGUGGUGCCUGUGGUGGAAAACGAUUUUCUAGUGGUUGGGGAUGAGCUCGCGGCCUAUCAGCUUGUUGGUGGGGUAAUGGCCUACCAAGGCGGCGACGGGUAGCCGGCCUGAGAGGGUGGACGGCCGCAUUGGGACUGAGAUACGGCCCCGACUCCUACGGGAGGCAGCAGUGGGGAAUAUUGCACAAUGGGCGGAAGCCUGAUGCAGCGACGCAGCGUGGGGGAUGACGGCCUUCGGGUUGUAAACUCCUUUCGACCGCGAGGAAGCCACCUGGUUGGAAGGGUGGUGACGGUAGUGGUAGAAGAAGCACCGGCUAACUACGUG